CGCUGGCGGUAGGCUUAACACAUGCAAGUCGUGCGAGAAAGUAUCUUCGGAUAUGAGUAGAGCGGCGGACGGGUGAGUAACGCGUAGGAAUCUACCUAGUAGAAGGGGAUAGCCCGGGGAAACUCGGAUUAAUACCGUAUACCUCCUUAGGGAGAAAGAGGGCCUCUCUUGAUGCUUUCGCUAUUAGAUGAGCCUGCGUAAGAUUAGCUUGUUGGUAAGGUAAUGGCUUACCAAGGCUACGAUCUUUAGCUGGUCUGAGAGGACGAUCAGCCACAUUGGGACUGAGACACGGCCCAGACUCCUACGGGAGGCAGCAGUGGGGAAUAUUGGACAAUGGGCGCAAGCCUGAUCCAGCCAUACCGCGUGUGUGAAGAAGGCCUUCGGGUUGUAAAGCACUUUAAGCAGGGAGAAAAAGUUAUAAGUUAAUACCUUAUAACCGUGAUGUUACCUGCAGAAUAAGCACCGGCUAAUUCCGUGCCAGCAGCCGCGGUAAUACGGAAGGUGCAAGCGUUAAUCGGAAUUACUGGGCGUAAAGCGCGCGUAGGUGGUUUGUUAAGUUGGAUGUGAAAGCCCUGGGCUCAACCUAGGAACUGCAUCCAAAACUAACUCACUAGAGUACGAUAGAGGGAGGUAGAAUUCAUAGUGUAGCGGUGGAAUGCGUAGAUAUUAUGAAGAAUACCAGUGGCGAAGGCGGCCUCCUGGAUCUGUACUGACACUAAGGUGCGAAAGCGUGGGUAGCGAACAGGAUUAGAUACCCUGGUAGUCCACGCCGUAAACGAUGACAACUAGCUGUUGGGAGACAAUGUCUUUCAGUGGCGCAGCUAACGUUUUAAGUUGUCCGCCUGGGGAGUACG
RNAcentral lists this ribosomal RNA (854 nucleotides) under uncultured Gammaproteobacteria bacterium. Its description in RNAcentral is "bacterial SSU rRNA". It matches the Rfam family "Bacterial small subunit ribosomal RNA", at positions 34 to 884 of the family's 1533-position model. The record is from RNAcentral. Lineage: Bacteria; Pseudomonadati; Pseudomonadota; Gammaproteobacteria.